RNAcentral lists this ribosomal RNA (301 nucleotides) under uncultured bacterium. Its description in RNAcentral is "partial 16S ribosomal RNA". It matches the Rfam family "Bacterial small subunit ribosomal RNA", at positions 509 to 807 of the family's 1533-position model. The record is from RNAcentral.
CAGUCGCCGCGGUAAUACGAAGGGGGCUAGCGUUGUUCGGAAUUACUGGGCGUAAAGGGCGCGUAGGCGGCCAUUCAAGUUAGAUGUGAAAGCCCUGGGCUCAACCUAGGAAUUGCAUUUGAUACUGUUUGGCUUGAGUUCGGGAGAGGUGAGUGGAAUUCCCAGUGUAGAGGUGAAAUUCGUAGAUAUUCGGAAGAACACCAGUGGCGAAGGCGACUCGCUGGACAAGUAUUGACGCUGAGGUGCGAAAGCGUGGGGAGCAAACAGGAUUAGAUACCCCCGUAGUCCCUGUCUCUUAUAC